UAGGUUGUGGCUCAGUGGUAGAGCACUUGCCUAGCAUGUAUGAGGCCCUGGGUUCGAGCCUUAGCACCGCAU
Ictidomys tridecemlineatus (thirteen-lined ground squirrel) is the source of this 72-nucleotide non-coding RNA. NCBI's taxonomy places the organism in Eukaryota, Metazoa, Chordata, Mammalia, Rodentia, Sciuridae. The record is from Rfam.